CGGCAAACGGGUGUGGAACACGUACAGAGCCUUCCUUUAAGCGGGGGAUAGCCCGGAGAAAUCCGGAUUAAUACCCCAUAGUAUUAUUGAUUGGCAUCAAUUGGUAAUUAAAGAUUUAUCACUUAAAGAUGGCUGUGCGGCUGAUUAGGUAGUUGGUGUAGGUAAAGGCUCACCAAGCCAGCGAUCAGUAACUGGUGUGAGAGCACGACCAGUCACACGGGCACUGAGACACGGGCCCGACUCCUACGGGAGGCAGCAGUAAGGAAUAUUGGUCAAUGGAGGCAACUCUGAACCAGCCAUGCCGCGUGAAGGAUGAAGGUCCUCUGGAUUGUAAACUUCUUUUAUGUGGGAAGAAAUGCAUUCUUUAUAGAGUGUUUGACGGUACCAUAGGAAUAAGCACCGGCUAACUCCGUGCCAGCAGCCGCGGUAAUACGGAGGGUGCAAGCGUUAUCCGGAUUCACUGGGUUUAAAGGGUGCGUAGGUGGGAAUGUAAGUCAGUGGUGAAAUCUCUGAGCUUAACUCAGAAACUGCCAUUGAUACUAUGUUUCUUGAAUUUUCUGGAGGUCAGCGGAAUAUGUCAUGUAGCGGUGAAAUGCUUAGAUAUGACAUAGAACACCAAUUGCGAAGGCAGCUGACUACAGGGAUAUUGACACUGAGGCACGAAAGCGUGGGGAUCAAACAGGAUUAGAUACCCUGGUAGUCCACGCCCUAAACGAUGGAUACUCGACAUUUGUGAUAGACAAUAAGUGUC
Molecule: ribosomal RNA, 751 nt
Filed under: uncultured Segetibacter sp.
Lineage: Bacteria; Pseudomonadati; Bacteroidota; Chitinophagia; Chitinophagales; Chitinophagaceae
Description: bacterial SSU rRNA
Rfam family: Bacterial small subunit ribosomal RNA
Source: RNAcentral